GACGAACGCUGGCGGCGUGCCUAAUACAUGCAAGUAGAACGCUGAAGGAGGAGCUUGCUUCUCUGGAUGAGUUGCGAACGGGUGAGUAACGCGUAGGUAACCUGCCUGGUAGCGGGGGAUAACUAUUGGAAACGAUAGCUAAUACCGCAUAAUAUUGACUAUUGCAUGAUAGUCAGUUGAAAGGUGCAACUGCACCACUACCAGAUGGACCUGCGUUGUAUUAGCUAGUUGGUGGGGUAACGGCUCACCAAGGCGACGAUACAUAGCCGACCUGAGAGGGUGAUCGGCCACACUGGGACUGAGACACGGCCCAGACUCCUAAGGGAGGCAGCAGUAGGGAAUCUUCGGCAAUGGACGGAAGUCUGACCGAGCAACGCCGCGUGAGUGAAGAAGGUUUUCGGAUCGUAAAGCUCUGUUGUAAGAGAAGAACGAGUGUGAGAGUGGAAAGCUCACACUGUGACGGUAUCUUACCAGAAAGGGACGGCUAACUACGUG
This 495-nucleotide ribosomal RNA is filed under the name uncultured bacterium. Its description in RNAcentral is "partial 16S ribosomal RNA". It matches the Rfam family "Bacterial small subunit ribosomal RNA", at positions 28 to 507 of the family's 1533-position model. The record is from RNAcentral.